GCUUUCUUGGUCUAGUCGGUUAUGACGUCGGUCUCAUAUAACCACAUGAUUGCGUUUAACGCAAGCUAUCCGAAGGUCGCCAGUUCGAUUCUGGCAGAGUAAGUU
Microthyrium microscopicum is the source of this 105-nucleotide non-coding RNA. The record is from the annotation of a GenBank genome assembly. Lineage: Eukaryota; Fungi; Ascomycota; Dothideomycetes; Microthyriales; Microthyriaceae.